GAAGCCAGGAUAUUCUUUGUUUGGUACAAAACAUUUUAAUCAUUUGUAUAAACUAAAAAGUGUGCUACAUUUAUAUGUUUUUGUAAAGUUUGCCAUACAAUCUGAAAAUGGAAAUCUGCUCCCACCUGAAGAAGGAAUAUCUGAAUAUCUUUUCCCAGCUAACUCCUUCCUGGGAGAUACAGUGCCAAGUACAAAUUAUGAGAAUGUGCCCUUGUAAGAUGUUGCCAGAUGGUCUCUACCACAGUCACUGAUCCUUCUUGUUCAACAGGACAACGAAGGCUGCCAAAGCAUAUGCACAUUCUAGUUGGAGCAAUUGCCCAGAGUCACACAUCUUUAAAUCUUAUAUCCAACAGCACUGGUUUGCAGUCAAAACCAGUUGCUGAUUUAGUGAAAUCACCCAUUUUUCGAUUUUAUUCUAAAUUAGGAGGUGUCGGGAGUCUUUGUGGGUGCUACCAGGGGAAAUAAAAAAUGCCAAUGUCACUAGCAUCAACAGUCAAGGGAAAAGGCAGAAAGAAGAGAAAGAAAGGGAAAGGUUAAUAAAGGGGAAAAUGAGGAGGAGAUAAGGAUGUGUUGAGAUAGGGAAUGUCUGGGUAUCACUGCCUCCACCUCAUGUGCCACUUAAGGCCACCCUCCUCUGACCAGAGACCAAAGUAAGAACCAAAAAUUGCCCAGGGCAAGCAGCAUGAAAUUCAUCUUCAGUUAAAUGACAACGGUGGUGAUGGCUGCAGCAGAGAGAAAGUCCCAGAAAGCUGUGCUUGAUGAAACCACUGACUGAUCCCGUGGGGAAGACCGUAACUCGGUUUCUGGACACAGCUGUAGCAGCCUGUGUAACUGUAUUAUAUUGAACUAAGGCUGUCAUUGAGUUUGAGAUCUGUUUUAAACACUGCUGAGGAAACAGUGAACAGAGAGACUAUGAAGAACGUGGAGCUUGGCCUCUAUAUCACUUGAACCAGUCGGGAGAAGAUGGAGAUGCAAUUAUGCAGUGACUUGUCAGAGCUUUCAUGGAUUGAGCACAUCAGCCUUUUACUUUAAUUCAAAGAGAGGACUUAAUAUCUCAGUAAAUCAUCAGAGUUUGUGCAUUUUUAUUAUGUUCCACUAGCUAAAAUUUCCCCUAACUUAAGGAAUAUUUUGUUCAAUUCUCUGAACUGUUUAUGAUGUGAUCCAAAUGGCCUAAGUGGGGUUUUGGACAUCUUCAAAAAGAACUAGACAGUUUUUGAUAACUUUCCCAAAGAUGUAUAUUUGUUAAUGCUAAAUGAAUUAAAAUCUGAUGCAAGUCA
Long non-coding RNA from Sarcophilus harrisii (Tasmanian devil), 1277 nucleotides. RefSeq lists it as uncharacterized. The record is from RefSeq and is a predicted model, not a curated record. The transcript is spliced from 2 exons. NCBI's taxonomy places the organism in Eukaryota, Metazoa, Chordata, Mammalia, Dasyuromorphia, Dasyuridae.